AAAUGAGAGCUCUUCUGGGUUUUGCUUCUGAAAUGGAUUUUUGUUAGCUCAAAGAUUAUAGACGUCUUAUUUCUAUUUUAGGAUUUUUAUCUGAUUUUGAUUUAUUGAAUCUAGUUUCACUUAAAAAACUCAGUCUAUGUUUUUGCACUUUUCUUAGUGUUGUCUUUUUUUUUUAUUCCUUCUGCUAUGUCUUGUUAGGUACCUGUUAUUUUACCUCUUCAAAAUCAAUGCUGGUUUUGGAAAUGGGAUUGGUGCAUCUAGGUAAAUACUCUCAUGUUUUAUCUGUUUAUAAUCUUCGUUGUAAGGUCUGGUCGCCCUGUCCAUGGGAAUUAGUCGAGUCUUAAAGGAGCGGUUGUUAAUUUAGCCAGGAUAAUAAGUAAAUGUUUUGGAGAAAAGUCAGCGUACUGUCUUUGUUAGUGAAAAAAUUUUCCAUGGAUCUCAGUAUGAUAAGGCAUAAUUUCACCUUGCUGUGUCUAUAUAUUUCUUCAUCCUCUGGUCUUUUUGAUCUGAAAUUUCAUCUGCCAUUUUGCCUUGUAUUUAGGCAUUUAGGGUGCUGAUAUUAUGCAUAUUUCCCAAGCAGUAAUGUUUCAAUGGAGUUAUUGAUUGGUUUUUAAUACUUAUGUUUCAUGGCCAUACUAUAUAUAAUGUUUGUGGGGCAUUUUAUUUCAUUACUCCUUUCACUCUUGAGAUCAGGAAGAUCUUUCUUCAAUGCUUGUAAGACUAGGAAUGCCUUGUUUAUACGUGUGAUUUAGUUGGUGCAUUAUUGGUCAUGCUAUUUCUUUGGUGGAAUGAGUUGAGAGUUUUAGUUACUUCUCUGGAAGAUGAGAGUCUAUCAAUUGAAUGUGUGUCUCUAUUUUCUGUGUUAUGGUGGGUCUCUUGCGUACAUCUUUCAAUUGCUUUGGAAGUUGCUUGCAUCUAUGUGCGUAUUUUGUAACUAUCUUUGUGAAAAAGAAAUUUGAUUGCAUUUUGCGACAGUGAUUAUAGAGAAAUGAACCAUUCAUAUUAUUUUAGUGCAGCUACCGCUAUCUUGUGUUGUUUACAUUACGUAAAAUGUGUCAAUAAUUCGAAUGGCAUUAACAAUUGAUGGUUGUUUUUGUAGCCUGAUAUGGCUGUUCUCAACUUGAUAUCGAAGUAACAAUUCUGGCUGAACCCACCCAGUCUAGAUUAGUUUAUCAGUAUGGUGAACGAAAGGGAAUGGGCUUGAUUGUGGUUUAAAGGCGUCGCUAUAAAUUUGAGCAGUCCCGGAUUUUUAAGAAGCAAUAUCCAUCUGGCCACUUGCAGCGAGGCACCUCAUCAAUUUAAACCUAGGAUGUGUUUUGAUGGAUAUUCAAACAGCUGAAGUAUUUGGUAAAACUUUAAAAAAUUAGCUGAUAGCUGAAAGCAGCUGUUAAGAUAUUUAUCAGCUGAAGAUUCUAUUAGUUUUAAAAUAGGAGCUGUUUAGAACUAUUUUUUUUAUUUUUUGACUAAAAUAUUUCUACUCUAAUAUUUAUGCAGUGUCAUCCAUUGUAUUAUCUUUUUGCUUCUAUUUGAAUUAAAAUAUCGAUUUCUUUUCAA
This 1554-nucleotide unclassified non-coding RNA is filed under the name Hevea brasiliensis (rubber tree). Lineage: Eukaryota; Viridiplantae; Streptophyta; Magnoliopsida; Malpighiales; Euphorbiaceae. The record is from RNAcentral.